This 607-nucleotide ribosomal RNA is filed under the name uncultured bacterium. Its description in RNAcentral is "bacterial SSU rRNA". It matches the Rfam family "Bacterial small subunit ribosomal RNA", at positions 71 to 677 of the family's 1533-position model. The record is from RNAcentral.
AAGCUACCUUCGGGUAGUGGACAGCGGCGCACGGGUGAGUAACGCGUACACAAUCUACCUUAUAGAGGAGAAUAGCCCUGGGAAACUGGGAUUAAUGCUCCAUAGUAUUACACUUUGGCAUCAAGGUGUAAUUAAAGCUCCGGCGCUAUAAGAUGAGUGUGCGUACUAUUAGCUAGUUGGUAAGGUAACGGCUUACCAAGGCUACGAUAGUUAGGGGGCGUGAGAGCGUGACCCCCCACACGGGUACUGAGACACGGACCCGACUCCUACGGGAGGCAGCAGUAAGGAAUAUUGGACAAUGGGCGCAAGCCUGAUCCAGCCAUCCCGCGUGGAGGAUGACUGCCCUAUGGGUUGUAAACUCCUUUUAUUUGAGAAGAAACGCCUGGAUUUAUCCGGGCCUGACGGUAUCUUAUGAAUAAGCACCGGCUAACUCCGUGCCAGCAGCCGCGGUAAUACGGAGGGUGCAAGCGUUAUCCGGAAUCACUGGGUUUAAAGGGUGCGUAGGUGGUUUAGUAAGUCAGAUGUGAAAGCCCGGCGCUCAACGUCGGAAUUGCAUUUGAUACUGCUGAACUUGAAUCAGGUUGAGGUGGGCGGAAUGUGGCAUGUA